GUGCUUACUUCAGCAGCACAUGCACUAAAACUGGAACAACACAGAGAAGAUUAGCAUGGCCCCUGCACAAGGAUGACACGCAAAUUAGUGAAGCAUUCCAUAUGAAA
Small nuclear RNA from Echinops telfairi (small Madagascar hedgehog), 107 nucleotides. NCBI's taxonomy places the organism in Eukaryota, Metazoa, Chordata, Mammalia, Afrosoricida, Tenrecidae. The record is from Ensembl.